Molecule: ribosomal RNA, 253 nt
Filed under: uncultured bacterium
Lineage: Bacteria
Description: partial 16S ribosomal RNA
Rfam family: Bacterial small subunit ribosomal RNA
Source: RNAcentral
UACGUAGGAGGCGAGCGUUGUCCGGAAUCACUGGGCGUAAAGCGCGUGUAGGCGGAUGACUAAGUUUGCUGUGAAAGCGCCUGGCUUAACCGGGCGAGGUCGGCGAAAACUAGUCGUCUGGAGGCCGGUAGAGGGGGGUGGAAUUCCGGGUGUAGUGGUGAAAUGCGUAGAGAUCCGGAGGAACACCCGUGGCGCAGGCGGCCCCCUGGGCCGCGCCUGACGCUGAGACGCGAAAGCGCGGGGAGCGAACGGG